GUGUGCCCCAGCUGGAGGACAGGGGGGAUGGAAAUGCUGCCUUGAAGAUGGGGGACACCGUCUGGUGACCCUGCGGGUGGCUGGGAGGAUCAGGGUGCUAGGCCACUCUGCCCUGGCACUGGGUCUCAGGGAACAGAGGGCAGAGAGACGCAGGGGUCAGGCCCAGAAGGAAGGUGGCCUCAGGUACCCCGGCUAGCAGUAACCACUGCUCCAAGGUGAAGACUUGACAGAAGCGCUUCUAACUCCUCCACGAGGUUCCCACUGGACUAGGGAGCGAGGGAAGCCCAGAGAAGGGGCCAUGAGGCUAUGGCGUGGACCAUGAUGUUACAGCAGUCCUUUUAUCCUAGGGAGAGCUCAGCCAGCCUCGUCCCAGACCACAGGUAUAACUGACCUUCGGAAGUUGGGGUGGGAUGCUGUCUCAGCUCUCCCUGGCUGCCUCGUAGCCAACCAAGGGUGGGGGACCUGGAGAUGCUGUCUGCAGGCCAUUUGGCAACUUGAGUCAAAAGGCCUAAAAAUAUGAACAACCUUUAAUCCAGCAAUCCCAUUCCUGGGAACCUGCCCUAAGAAAAUCACAGCUUGAAGGAAGGGAGAAUUGGAGUGGUUAGCCUCUAACUUGCUCCGUGAUCCCUGGCUCACAUUGGACCCAGCGGCUGUUGUCCAGCCUCCCCCAGUGAGGUUGUUCCCUCCCAUAGGAUCAUGUCCAUCAUCCUCCCCAGAGAAUGUGGCCCAUGGUGCCAGGCCACUGCCCAGGCCUGUGUUACACAUUCAUGGACCUUCCCUGUCCAUCCUCCACCUUUCUGGGACUCAGGCUUCUCUCUGCCCAAACACGGGCAUCCUAGAGGCCCCCUCCUCCAGGGAGUCUGCUCAGAUUUCAUCUAUGGGCAUCCUGCACCCUGUGUGCCCCCAGGUGGAGGUCUUUGGAGGCCUCUGUCCUCCCUGUGGGUAUGAGGUGGCUCCACUCUCCAUAGGGCUGUUUGACCACUCCCUGCUGAAUUCCAAGAGUCUCUAGCGGGUGUGAGACUGGACUGCUGUCCUUCCCUAGGGGGAAGGGGUGGGCACCACGACAACACACCUGGCAGGUCAGCCUCAUGCUCCCCAUCUUUGGCAGUGCCCGGCCUCAACAUAGCAUACCCUGGGAUGCCUGGACACAGGCAAGGCCCCCCUCUUCCCCUCCCUCUCUAGGCCCUCGGGGGGUCAUCUGUUCUUCCCCCUGCCUCCAGCCCUUGCUGCUUACAAGUCUAUUUUUCCAGCAGGAGGUGAGUGAACUUCUGCCCUUUGUUCCCUGUAAGUCCAAGAGACAGAGGUGGCUGGGUGCAGUGGCUCAUGCAUGUAGUCCCAGCAUUUUAGGAGGCCAAGGAGGGAGGAUUGCUUGAAACCAGGAAUUUGAGA
RNAcentral lists this long non-coding RNA (1389 nucleotides) under Homo sapiens (human). RNAcentral describes it as "HSALNT0054621". The record is from RNAcentral. Lineage: Eukaryota; Metazoa; Chordata; Mammalia; Primates; Hominidae.